This 773-nucleotide ribosomal RNA is filed under the name uncultured bacterium. Its description in RNAcentral is "bacterial SSU rRNA". It matches the Rfam family "Bacterial small subunit ribosomal RNA", at positions 1 to 790 of the family's 1533-position model. The record is from RNAcentral.
AAUUCGAUUAGAGUUUGAUCCUGGCUCAGGACGAACGCUGGCGGCGUGCCUAACACAUGCAAGUCGAACGGGGUAUUAGCAAUAAUACCUAGUGGCGAACGGGUGAGUAACGCGUGAGCAACCUGACCUUUUGAGGGGGAUAACAACCGGAAACGGUUGCUAAUACCGCAUAAGACCACACUGCCACAUGGCAGAGGGGUCAAAGGAGUAAUCCGCAGAAGGAGGGGCUCGCGUCCCAUUAGAUAGUUGGUGAGGUAACGGCCCACCAAGUCAGCGAUGGGUAGCCGAGCUGAGAGGCUGAUCGGCCACACUGGAACUGAGACACGGUCCAGACUCCUACGGGAGGCAGCAGUGGGGAAUAUUGGGCAAUGGGGGAAACCCUGACCCAGCAACGCCGCGUGAGGGAAGAAGGCUUUCGGGUUGUAAACCUCUGUCGCAGGGGAAGAAACAAAUGACGGUACCCUGUGAGGAAGCCCCGGCUAACUACGUGCCAGCAGCCGCGGUAAUACGUAGGGGGCGAGCGUUGUCCGGAAUUACUGGGCGUAAAGGGUGCGUAGGUGGCAAUUUAAGUUGGAUGUGAAAUCCCCGGGCUUAACCUGGGUGGUGCAUUCAAAACUGGAUAGCUAGAGUGCAGGAGAGGGAAGCGGAAUUCCUAGUGUAGCGGUGAAAUGCGUAGAUAUUAGGAGGAACACCAGUGGCGAAGGCGGCUUUCUGGACUGUAACUGACACUGAGGCACGAAAGCGUGGGGAGCAAACAGGAUUAGAUACCCUGG